Molecule: long non-coding RNA, 897 nt
Organism: Bos taurus (domestic cattle)
Lineage: Eukaryota; Metazoa; Chordata; Mammalia; Artiodactyla; Bovidae
Source: Ensembl
GGAGGCGGCCGCUGCGGCUCCCGCACGCAGACGGCUGCGGCCCGGGCCUCGCGGCUCCCUCCCGAGCCCGGUGGCCCCUGCCCCGGGCCCAUCUCCGUACAGUGUCAGAAAAAUAAAUAAAAGGAAAGAGGAGCCUGGGCAGGCGGUCGGGAUCGCUUCCCUCCCUCCGCACCCGCCCUCCCUCUGUCCUUAAGGAAAUGCUACCAGACACCCCCCACCAGACACGCUCAGCCUUGGCGAGGAGCGGCCGCCGCGGCAGCGAGAACAAGGGCACCAGGGGGGUUUCCUCCCCCUCCUCCUCUCCCUCCUCUUCCUCCUCCUUCUCUCCGUCCUCCUCCUCCUCCUCCUUCUCAGCGGUGACUUUCCAGGUGAGCGGCCGCCUCUGCUGCUGCUGCGAGGAUCCCCCUCGCCCGCUCGGGCUCGGGCCGCCGCGUCGCGCCCUCCACCCGCCCCUGUCACCCGGCGGCGGCCGGGAGCUGACAGCCGCCCGAGGGGCUAGCGGCCCGGGGGCGGGCGGCCGGCCGGAGGCGGGCUGGAGGUGAGGGGGUGGAGAGGAGGCGAGCGGGGCGCCGCUGAGCGCUGUCUCUGCCCGCCCGAGGAGGGUCUCCGCAGAAACAUCUCCGGUGACUGUGGCACAAGUCUUGGCCAAGUUGUGUCUUGGACGUUGAGGUUCCCGGGAGCCCGGAGCAACUUGGAGGGUCUCCUGGCUCCUUAACCAUAUUCCUACACGUCUCGACUUUUGGGGGUGCUGGGUGCAGCCUCGGGGUGCGUGGAGGGCGGACCGACCGUUCGGGCGAGCAGAGCGGCGGGAAUCUAGGUCCCUCGGCUCGAUUCCCAGAAGUUGUGCAUGUGUUCCUGUGGAGGGAGUUGGCAUCGUUGAAAGCAAAGACGGCUGUG